Long non-coding RNA from Cyprinodon tularosa, 499 nucleotides. RefSeq lists it as uncharacterized. The transcript is spliced from 3 exons. The record is from RefSeq and is a predicted model, not a curated record. Lineage: Eukaryota; Metazoa; Chordata; Actinopteri; Cyprinodontiformes; Cyprinodontidae.
GCCAGCUGUUUGCUAUCCUAAACCUUGCUGCAGGUGAAGGUGGUCAGUAUGCUGGAGUUGACAUUCCUAAAACACGUCUUCUUCCUUGGCUUGGAAACAGUUUUUUUCAUUUCGAGGCCCUCUGUCACUGAAGACAUCAGCAUGCAGCUCAUCCAGGAUUCAGCAGAGAAGGACAGACAGAUCAGGGAGCUCUCUUGCUCCCAUGAGAGCGACAUGAAGAAGAUGGAGGUUCAGCUGAUCUCCACUCGCCUCCAGCUGGACUCGGUCACUGCAGAAACAAUACAUUUAAUAUUUAGGAGGAGUUUUUACUGUGAUGAAACACUGUAGUUCCAAUGCUUCCUUGUUAAUUUAUAGUUUUUACCAGGCUCAUGGAUGUUCAGAGGGAGCUGGAAGAAACAAAGAGGAAGUCAGCGACCAACCUACUCGCCACCGAGGAUGAAAUCUUGCAGCUCAAAGCAGAAUGAGGGAUGCAGUUCAAAAGCAUUAAAUUAUACCUGUG